AGCGAACGCUGGCGGCAGGCUUAACACAUGCAAGUCGAGCGGCCGUAGCAAUACGGCAGCGGCAGACGGGAGAGUAACACGUGGGAACGUACCCUUCAGUAAGGAACAACCAAGGGAAACUUUGGCUAAUACCGUAUACGUCCGUAAGGAGAAAGAUUUAUCGCUGAAGGAUCGGCCCGCGUCUGAUUAGCUAGUUGGUGAGGUAACGGCUCACCAAGGCGACGAUCAGUAGCUGGUCUGAGAGGAUGAUCAGCCUCACUGAGACUGAGACACGGCCCAGACUCCUACGGGAGGCAGCAGUGGGGAAUAUUGGACAAUGGGCGCAAGCCUGAUCCAGCCAUGCCGCGUGGAUGAUGAAGGCCCUAGGGUUGUAAAGUCCUUUUAACGGGGAAGACAAUAACGGUACCCGUAGAAUAAGCCCCGGCUAACUUCGUGCCAGCCGCCGCGGUAA
This 451-nucleotide ribosomal RNA is filed under the name uncultured bacterium. RNAcentral's name for it is "partial 16S ribosomal RNA". It matches the Rfam family "Bacterial small subunit ribosomal RNA", at positions 29 to 523 of the family's 1533-position model. The record is from RNAcentral.